RNAcentral lists this ribosomal RNA (468 nucleotides) under uncultured bacterium. RNAcentral describes it as "partial 16S ribosomal RNA". It matches the Rfam family "Bacterial small subunit ribosomal RNA", at positions 28 to 507 of the family's 1533-position model. The record is from RNAcentral.
GACGAACGCUGGCGGCGUGCUUAACACAUGCAAGUCGAACGGAAAGGCCCUGCUUUUGUGGGGUGCUCGAGUGGCGAACGGGUGAGUAACACGUGAGUAACCUGCCCUUGACUUUGGGAUAACUUCAGGAAACUGGGGCUAAUACCGGAUAGGAGCUCCUGCUGCAUGGUGGGGGUUGGAAAGUUUCGGCGGUUGGGGAUGGACUCGCGGCUUAUCAGCUUGUUGGUGGGGUAGUGGCUUACCAAGGCUUUGACGGGUAGCCGGCCUGAGAGGGUGACCGGCGACAAUGGGACUGAGAUAGGGCCCAGUCUGCUACGGGAGGCAGCAGUGGGAAAUAUUGCGCAAUGGGCGGAAGCCUAAUGCAGCAACGCCGCGUGCGGGAUGACGGCCUUCGGGUUGUAAACCGCUUUGGCCUGUGACGAAGCGUGAGUGACGGUAAUGGGUAAAGAAGCACCGGCUAACUACGUG